Ooceraea biroi (clonal raider ant) is the source of this 7652-nucleotide long non-coding RNA. RefSeq lists it as uncharacterized. Lineage: Eukaryota; Metazoa; Arthropoda; Insecta; Hymenoptera; Formicidae. The record is from RefSeq and is a predicted model, not a curated record.
ACGUGCGCUCCAGUAUCUCACGGAUAAUUUUCCCGCUCGACUUUUCCAAAGAUAUCGCACGGUCUUAUUAGCAAACGGAUGUAUAAAGUUACAUCGGUGAUAAAAAUAUAUCAGAUUGACAUGUUUGGAUCUCUGCUUCAUUUUCCACUGCUUUAAAAAACUGAAAUACUUCACGUAUUUCAAAGUAUGAUCGAGUUUAAUAAACAUCAUUUCCGGAGUUAUAAAUCUGUGUUUAAAAAUUUUUAAAAGCUGUCGUAUGUGAAUUAGUAUUUUAAUCAAUCAAAUGUGCAAAGUGAGAGAAAGAUAGACCCGAUGUCAAAUUCAUUAUACUUCAGAUUCAUUAUACUUCUACUUGUGAUAUGAAUUAAUAUUAGAAAAAGAGCAGGAGGCAUUUAUUAAACCUUUUUUUUUCGAUAAAUAUAUUACGAGAUUAACAGAGAAUUAAAUGGAAAAUUUUAACAUAAUUAGCAUAGGUUUCUCAUAUACCGAGCGUUAUCGAUAUGAUCUGAUUAAUAAAGUCGAUGGAGCAGUGCAGAAUAAAUAUAGCGAAAACGAUGUAUCAACUUUACUACUUAUAUACUAUGUGAGCCGAAGAAGUUUACUUCUUUAAUAUGCUAAUAAUCCUAUUUUAAUUCACCGUUGCAUAUUUGAUGUAUUAUCCAUAUUUAAACGGCAUUUCCAAACCCAUUAUUUCGAUAUACUUAUGUAUAAUUCAUGGCAUAUCAGUUAUGCAUUGCUAAAAAUCAUUAAUACAUACUGACACAAUCUUGCCAUUAGAGAUUCAGUGGAAUCUUCUAUAUAUCCUACUGUUCUCUCAAUUACAUGCUUGGUCCCACUCGGGAACAAAUCCGAUUAACAAUAAAUACUUGAUAUGCUCGCGAGUUUGAUCUGUUCGUAAAUGCGCUUAUCUAACUUAUGAUCAAUUCAGGAGACUCGUAUCUUCCUAAUUUGUACAUCACGUCUAUCACGCGUCCAUUUGAAUUCAAUGAAAUAGGAAACACGUCUCGCUGGACGUCGUUCCAUGUCGAUACGAGUCUCACUUCGCGAACGAGCAUUGGAACAUAACGACGACGACGAUGAUGUGCCAUGGUCCAAGUCAUAAUAUACCAACUCGGUUUGUUCCGCGAUGUAGCCGCGGUUCCGGAUUGGAAGCUUCUUCGCCGGAGUAUUUUAACGCUCGAAGUCGCCUUGCCGCGCAGACUGAUAAAAGGUGACCAUUUUCUAUCUCUGCAGUCCGUAGCUGUAUAUGUACGUGUAUAAGCAGAUAUAUAUAUAAUAUAUACACUAUAUCCGUGGCGAGCGCGCAAUAAAAUGAGAGCGCCACGUUAAACUUUAUUGCGGACGGAGGUUGUUGCUCGCGUUUCCGCGGCGUCACCCCGUCGAAAGGGGCUGUUAUAACUUUAUCACUACGCCGGCCACGACGCGGAUCGGCAUUGUACGGGCUCUCUCCGUUUUUCGCCCGGGAAUGUUCAGCGCUUGAUUCUCGCGGCGUCCCGCGAUUUAAUUGCACGAUCCAUUAACAAUGCCCGUCGACGUAAAGCCGACACUGGCAAUGAACAUCGGGCACGAUUGAAAGGUUCGCCCAAUGGGAUUCUUUCAUAAGCUGAUUUUUUACAUGCCAUUUUUUACAUACCAGGGAGAGAGAAACGCGAAAGGAUCGAUCGGCAGAGGUGCCGUCGCCGAGGGGUGGAAUAGCGUCUGGAUAGUGUCUUAAAAAAGCGGAGUCGCCGGAUCGUCGCUGGAUUCCCAUCUCGGCGCGGCUUUACGCCGCUUCUCCCGUUUAUCGAAUCGUUCGAUUAUCCGCAGCGCGAGUUAUCGCGAAAUUUAUUUUCAUCGCGCGCUCCAGAUUAUGCACAGACGUUGUGGUAGUUCGCAUAAAGAGCCAACUCGCGUUUCAAACUGGAUUGCUGGAUUAUGCAUGCGACUUGGCACCGAUGCAUCUGUAUAAAUGAUAAAAUGACCUUUUACGAACGCGCGGCGUUUAUUUGAUAAUUUUCGCGGCGCGCACAGGAAUGGCUAACUUGGUUAAACUCGGCUAAAAUAUGUACGCGUAUCGCCUUAAUGAUAUUAUGUCCAUUUUACCGCGAUGUGUGUGCACGAUCGGUGUAAAAGAUACGACGGCUCGGGCCGGGAUGGAAAAACCGAAUGCAUCUACGUAGCGCUUCCGUAAAUCAUAAUACGUUAAAGCUCCUCUCUGGAUGCAGCGGAUAAUCCGCGUGUUUGCUUACAUUUUCAAUCUUUUAUAAAGCACGAUAACUUCAACGUGCUUAUAUAUGUGAAAUUAUAAUUGCCAGCCGCCCCGACCGUUUCAAAUUUCCGACUUCCCCCGGCCCGGAGUUGCAAAACAGAGACGCGAAAGCGGAAGGAUUAUAGGGUCUAAAACCAUCGCUUGCUCCUCCUUUCCCGCCCCGCUGUCUCCCUCAUGACCAUUAACUAAUUGCAUUCUACUAAUUACUCGCAAAUCCUUCCGCUCCCGUUUCCCCGUGACUCUGUAUACGCCCAGGGUACACGAUCGUAAAUACCUCAACUUCCAAAGAGCCAGCGCGGUCCCUCCGGCGCAACCCUCCACCCCUGGCUUGUCAAGAACACAAAUAAAGACUUUGGACCCCGGUUAACCGAUUCGAGCGCGAGACAGAGAGUAAGACCGAAACACAAGAACGAUCGCGCUUUCCUGUGCGGAUCGUCGUUGUGUCGUAGGUUUUUCGUUGAACGAGAAACGCUCGAAACGCCGCGGCUUAUCGCGUAAAAGGAAUUACGUGAAUCGUCGUCCGCUCGAUGUAACGCGGACUGCAUUACUGCGACCGGGACACGGGAUAGAUGCAUCCGCUUUCGCUUUAAUUCGCAGGGAUAAAUCUCUGCCUGCCGCGCGCGGUCUUAACCCAUCGAGAUCGGCCGAAGUAAGCUUCUACUUUUUUUUCCAAACGCUGGAGAAACGCGGGAAAUUAAUUUCGACCGAGAUCGGCGCGGAACCGUGACCGUCCGUGAUUAAAAGGGAGGUCGUACAUCACCGGGCCGGGGAGUUUCACGCAUAUGGUAUUCCGAUCUUUGCACUGUAUCGUAUUGUAUCAGCCUCCGAGUGCUUCUGCCGCGCGUACAGAGAUCGUAUAUCAUGCCGAUAAUAAUUCUUAUGACCACUGUGCCGCGCACGGCGGCGAUGGUGCACGCGGUGGCGGAAAAAAGAAGGGAUUAUUGCGGGGCACGCGGGCGGUAAAGAGCGAACGGCAAAAGAGUAUAUACAGAGGGCGCUCUUAACCCGAAAUCUCUGCUCUAUCCCGCCCUCCAUUCAUUACACCCUCUCCGCCCCUGCCGCCUAUUCUUUCGCCACAAAUCUGAAUCCCCCGUCGGCCCGGCCGGCACGGAACGCGAACGUGACCUCUCGCUGGUACAGCGAAUGCGGGAUAAAAUGCAUUGGGAAUUACGUAUAUCCCCCCGGUGUUCGUCGAAGUGAAAUAUUUCCUAUCGAGAAGCAUCCCCGGCCGCCAGCAGCGGCAGCGGCGGCGGCAGCGGGGACGGGAGGCGGAUUGGCGAGGGAGGGUGGUUGAGGCAAAGGCGCUCGGUCAGGCAUCGGUUUUACUCGUGGGAGGGAAAGUUUCGCUAAAACGUUUCCGCUGAUAAAUCUUGUUUACAGAUGGGCAGGCUCAGGUGAUGCGUGCGCGGGCGUUCGUUCGCUCGCGCGCGCUUCGUACUCGUCAAAACUUAAAGUACGGCUCCAACUUGCGCGAAAUUCACGCGGGACGCUCCGCCACGGCGAGCGGCUACGUGCUGCGGUCGCUGCCGACGUCAAUAAUUGGCGAGAACCGGGUCUCGAGAAGGGCGAGCGAGCAGAGGUGAAAUGACUUUAGGGAGCACGUCGUGCAAGUAACGACGAAUCACGACGAAUCGAGCUGUACGGGCCUGCAGGUAUAGACGAGGGGUGUUAGCAGCGCGUUGUUGAGUCGAGGCAAUAAUCGCCGCUACUAACGACGCCGAGUUCUCUCACGCGCGGCUUGUCCGCUCCGACGUUGCCUCGCGCCUCGCGCGGAAUCGGUUCCGCUCGAAAGAGACCAUUAGCCGUCAAUUAGCUGAUUACGUUCGAUGAAAUUGUUCGCGCGCCGACUUGACUGAAUCGCUCUAUCGGAUCGAGUGACUUCCACGAUUAACAGCUUGCUCGAGUUACUUAUCAAUUUUCACGAACGUCCAUUGAGCGUUGUUGGUUAUCUUUUUACAGUGAUUUUCGCAUUCUGCUGCUCUUGGGGAUAUCUUGAGAUAUAUAUGUUUAAAUGCAAGUGCAAGACGUGCGAAAAGAGAGUUACGCAUAAUUGCAAUUGAAACUUUAUCGGAAUUCGUACUGAUUGUGCAGGUAAAGAAUAAAGCAUCUAAAGAGACAAAUUGAGUUCCAAAGACGGCGACAAAUCGUAAAACUUUGCUCUUCAUUUGAUUUUCGGCGCAACUUGUUUUAACGAAAUUCUAAUGUAAGAGUAAGUUACGUAAAAGGUAUUCAAAACCGAUUAUUAAAAAGUUAUGAAAAAGUGAUGCUCAAUCAAACUUUUGUCAAGGAAAAGAAGCCGAUCUCCACCUUUGUAACUAACGUCGAAGUACGCCGCUUUUGUGGUUGCGCUACCCUAUAAUUCGCGUAACCUUCUAUCAUUCAUCAUUCUUUUCUAGCACGAGCGCUCUCUCCGUUGGAAUAAUCGAUGUAUCAGUCUCGAUAUUCGUUGCACGUUGAUGGAAUAACAUUCAGAUCUCCACAAAAGAGCUAUUGAUAGCUCGAAACUAAAAUUCUAUCGGAUAUUUGAACGAAAUAAAAUGGUUAAAAUAUAUAAAAGUGAAAGAUGUUACAUUAGAAUACGACGUGGAUGUGAAAUUAAUUAACCGUACGGCUGGUAUAACGCGCAUCCGGAAUUAUGAAAAGUUAGCCGACGGUCGAGCGAUGUUCACAAUUAAAGAGGAACGAUGUCCCCUUAGCGCGAGAGGAAGAGAACCGUUGAAAAGCGCAUCUGGCGGUUUUAAUAAUCGCUACAAUAUUCAUGUCGCUCGACCGUCUACGACAAGGGGAUGAACGAGUGGCCACUCAUAAGUUGAAUGUAAACGACCCGCCUGUUGAAAUAUCGAUCGCGCGAGUGGUAGACGCCCGUUUUCGCCGCGCGAUGCUCAGGAGAAAUGGAGACGAGAUGAUGAUGGUCAUACGUGCUUCUUCUUGAUAUUAGUGUAAAGGCAAUAAAUACAUGAGACAAAAUAUACAUAUAUAUACAUUUAUAUAUUUUAGACAUAAUUAAAAGAUUUUUUAAUUUUCAGAUAGGUAUUUUAAUCGCGAUGUAGAAAAGUUUGCUAAUAAUGUUUAAUAUUCUUUACGAGUUUCAUAUAUUUCAUUUCUAUCCAUAAAUAAAUAAAUGUGGAGAAAUAAAUGUGGAAACACUCGGCUCCUUGGCACAAUGAAUGUUACUGAUGAGACUAUUUCAAUCAAGAAAUCGAUUGAUAGAUAUUGGGAUUCGGUUGAUCUAAUCAGUCGAAUAUUCAUCCGUCUUCAUUUCCUAACACGGGACAAACUGUCCCUUGAAAUAUCUACAAUCGCACGGAGGGAUAGUGAAACUCUCAUCUCGCAGUGCCGUCACCUGUUCACGACUGUUACGUCAGUAACCCUUCAUCGGAUGGAAGGUUCUCGAACGAUCUUCGAAGGCUCCGGCAGGCAAGCCUGCUAGCCGUAGCGGGCGUUAUCGCGAGCCCGGCAAUAAAUAGUAUAAACAUCCGCGCAUACCAGCAUCUUUCUAGAACCUUCUAGCACGUUCUAAAACCUUAAAAUAUAUAUAUAAUAUCAUAUUAUAUAUAUAUAUAGCGAUUUUAUAAUUUAGGAAACUUUAUAUUAUUAUUUUCCUGAAUGCAAAUGAUCAUAUAGACGGAAUUUAAUACGAUUACAGCCUUCAAAAUAAGCAUUAUUUCUUUUAAUACACAUAUCUUUGGAUUAAAAACAGAUACAACAACCAUUCAAAAUCCCAGAAGAUCCAUUUUGCAAUCAGGAAAUUAAUACCGAGAGGAAAAUAUUAUAAUCAUAAGGCGAACUACGUAAUUAAUUAACUUAGGUAUUAAGGUUCUGUACGGGGAUGUUUACGCGAAGGGCCUCCCUCCACAGAACCGAGAUAACCGUCGAGACGAAGACGCGGGCCCGAUUUUCCUAAACAUUAUUGGUGGAAAAUCAGUCCCACCAUCGAUAUUUUCAACCACCCGCCUCUUCGUCCACCAUAUAAAAGGGCCUGCAGAAGGCCAGGGAAGUCAGUCAUAAGUGCAGCAAUAAGUAAUCAAUUUCAUUAAGCGUUUUCGUAAUCUUGGGUGUCGAGUCUGAUCUCUACGUUUAAGAAUAAAUUCCGAGCAUCUAGUGUUAGCGAAUCUGUGGCGACUGCUCUCACUCCAGAGCCACGACAAGACCCGACAGUAAUUCGAUCACGAGAAGAGUCGACGGGAUUUCUUUCCCUCGCCUCAGAAAACAAUUAGCUUCGCGAUCCUCGGGAAGUAUCAUCGUAUUUAAACAUCCCUGCAGUUAUAAUCACGGACACUCGGGACGUAACAACGACAUUACGAUCGCUCUCAGUUUAUCACUUGUCGUGUCCAUCGCCGGAUGGACUUCGCGUUGCGUCGGAGUAACAAUUUAGAAAAUCGGGAAUAAGUUUGCGGAGCGGGAAACGCUGCGUCAGUGCCGUUACGCGAAAUUACGGAGGCUAACUGAGGGCAUGACGAGGGAAAGAGAAAAGGAGGAAGGGAAAGCGAGGGAAAAUGACGGUGGUUCCUCAGUGGGGCGCGUUGCUCACGCUUCAAGGAAAAUAUAAUGACAAAGAAAGGAGAGCGCGGGGGAUUGCGCGUCGCACGACGCGAACACCCAUCUCUCAAUUUGCAUUUUCAGCAUUUCGCUCGCAGGCAAAUAACGACUUCAUUACGGCGCUCAUCAGAUAUAAAUGACAUAUUUGAUUUGGCGUGGUCCCUGUCGUCGUCGUCGUCGUCGACGUCAUCCCCCAUCUCGUUCAUCCUGCUCGUCGUCGUUGUCGUCAUCUUUGUGCCUGCCACCGUCGUCUUCUGCGCGACUCGCAGACGACAAUGGUACGCCCGGAUACCUGCGUACCCAGGCGUUCUAGCCUCUUAAUGAGAGGAGAACUCUUCCGUAAUCGGUGAUCAGUUUGCCAGCAAGACAGACGUCGCUCAUGUCGAACCGUCCGCAGCGAUUAAUCGGCCCUACCUUCCACUCGUCGUUGCGUAGCCUGUCUGAAUUUGAACCUCUAUUUUCAUAACGCGUAUUGACAAAACGAUUUUAGCUGUCUGAGUCUGAUUGUGAAUUGGGGUUGCGCGCAUAUUAAGCAGUAGUCAAGGCGUUAAAUGCCAAUAUCCGACACACUCCAAUUCCAAGUAUUAUUAUUAAUUAUGUUAUUAUUAACUAUGUUAAUAUUGAUUAUAUACUAUGUUAAUAUUAAUUAUAUAAUAUUAUUAAAUCUGUCAUCAAUAAAUUAUAGGGAGAAUAAUUGAAUAUAUUGCAUAUGUUGUUUGUGCAGCGUAAAUGUGUAAAUAUUCUAUCAAAAUAAUAAAAGACACAAAUUGUAUGAAAAAUAAAUAAAACUCAAUUAAAGAGAUAUAGGAAUACUCUUGCUUUCUAAUUUUUAGUCUCUUCAUCUUUAAUGCAUGUCCAUUUCCAA